CCCUCCUGUAACACUAUUUUCCUUCCCCUGAGAUUUUUUGGAUUUUCUUUGUCCUGAAGAUAAAUCCUGAUCUGUUGUAGACCCUGGAGUCUUCAACUCCAGUUCUGUUGUAACAUCAUCAUUACAGUCCAAACUUUUUCCAAUCUUGCUCUCCCCUGAUGAUUUAUUCUUCGAAUCUUGUUUGCCCGAAACGUGGGAUCCACUGGCAGGCUGUGCAAGUGAAGAUGCAUGUUGAGUGGACUGCUGAUCAACCAAGGGAUUAGGAGUCAUAAAUGGGACAAAAGUUGAACAGGGAUUAUGGAUUACUGCAGGAUUCUGAUUUCCAAAGAAGGGGUAUGCUUGCAUGGAUGGAUGCAAAGGAAUUGGCCCUGGAGGCAAUGUCACUGGCAUGGGGAAGGGACAAGAAGUUGGGGCCAUGACAACUGAGUGAUCCAUAGCAACCCAUGGGUACAUAGUCCUGAGUCUUUGCUGAUAUUGGAUAUUAAGAUUCUCAAUGUCGGAUUUGAGAGAUGCCUUCUCUUCUCUAAGGUCAUUUUUCUCUUGUGUCAACUCACGUGAUUCUUCAGUCAAUGUAGCAUACUCUGCCUUAAGUUUGUUGACUUGAGAUGUCAAAUCCUUCAACAACUGUAUUGUAUCCGCCAGAAUGGUUGCUUUGUCAUUUUUGG
Molecule: unclassified non-coding RNA, 665 nt
Filed under: Hevea brasiliensis (rubber tree)
Lineage: Eukaryota; Viridiplantae; Streptophyta; Magnoliopsida; Malpighiales; Euphorbiaceae
Source: RNAcentral